CUGCACAAGCUCUUUUGCCUGCGGCCACCUAAGACGUAACUUUGCUCCUUAUUCGCUUUCCGCCAUGAUUGUGAGGCCUCCCCCACCAUGUGGAACUCUUCUUCUAGAUGGGAUCGAACUUCCUCCUUUCGCUCAGAGAGGUUUGAUUGUCUGAAGCCUUCUUCUCUCAACUUGUCAAAGUCAUUCUCCAUCUAGGUUUGUCCGUUGCUGAAAACGUCCUAAUAAGAAGAUAAGGUGACCGAAUAAGGGGAUUACUUGGCAGAGAUAUGAGAGAACUGGGUUCUUGACCCCACUUUGCCAUGAACUUGGUGACUGCAAUUAGUGUGGAAUUGUAACUUCCCUUCUCCAUUAAAAAUGCUUGUUGAAGAAAGUGGCCAUAUUGGUCAGCCUAUUGGGCAGGGAACUGCAGGUGGUACCCAGGAUCUGAGGAUGGCUUCCAGAUGACAGCAAGCAAAACCCAGGGCUCCCAGUCCUCUAACCACAACAGAAUGGAUUCUGCAAACAAUUCGAGUGAGUUUGGAAGCAGAUUCUUCCCCAGGCAGAGGAGCCUUUCCCUGUGGCCACCACUGCCUUCAGCCCAUAAGGGAGUUUUUCCAGGCUACCUCCGAUGAUCACUUAAAGCUCAACAGCUCUUCAUUCAGCUUGUGAGAUAGCCAGUCAUGGGACUGCUGGAUCAACUGGUAGGUACUAUUUUUAGUUAUUUGAGAAAUCUCUUACUGUUUUCCAUAGAGGUUGCACUGGUUUACAUUCCCACCAAUAGUGGAUAACUGUUCCCUUUCCUCUGCAUCCCUGCCAACAUCUGUUGUUUUUUGACUUUUUUAUGAUAGCCAUUUUGACUGGUGUGAGAUGGUAUCUCGUUGUGAUUUUAAUUUGAAUUUCUCUGAUAAUGGGCAAUUUUGAACAUUUCUUCAUGUAUUUAUUGGGCAAUUGUAUGUUUUCUUUUGAAAAAUCUCUGUUCAUGUCCUUUGCCCACUUUUUAAUAGAGUUGUUUGUUUUUUCUUGCUGAGUUGAGUUCCUUGUAGAUUACUGAUAUUAGUCCUUUGUCAGAUGCAUGGUUUGCAAAUACUUUUUCCUAUUCUGUGCAUUGUCUCUUUACUCUGUUGCCUAUAUUUUUUGCUGUGCGGAGCUUUUUAGUUUAAGUCUCAUUUGUCUGUUUUUGCUGCAUUUAAUUUCGAGUUAUUAGUCAUAAAUUCUUUGCCUAGACCAAUGUCCA
This 1213-nucleotide long non-coding RNA is filed under the name Homo sapiens (human). RNAcentral describes it as "HSALNT0080126". The record is from RNAcentral. Lineage: Eukaryota; Metazoa; Chordata; Mammalia; Primates; Hominidae.